This 3356-nucleotide long non-coding RNA is filed under the name Homo sapiens (human). Its description in RNAcentral is "HSALNT0127581". Lineage: Eukaryota; Metazoa; Chordata; Mammalia; Primates; Hominidae. The record is from RNAcentral.
CCAAGAUGAAGACCAUUUCCCUGGUCUACAUUAAAAUCGUGCAGAAAUCAAAAGCACCUGAGAUCAUGCUGAGCCUGUGGGAUUAUGAGUCAGUGAUCAUACAGCAGCCUUUAAAAGAGGCAGUUCCUUGAUGUGUGCUGACCCUCUUUCCACGGUGGCCAUCUCUCCAGACCAAAGUGAAAUGUGACCUGCAGCUUUGAGAUGUCUCCUAGAAUGAAUAAUCUCCAGGUAUAUUCAAAACCAUUAAUUGCCUCUGAAGGGAGCAAAAUGAGGCUUCCCCAGAAUCCUGUUAUUUGAAGGAGAGAUACUGAGCUCAGUGUUUGCUGCUUCAGUGAGUUCCUAUGGCCAAGCUCUGAGAAGAAUGGGGGAUUGGAUUAUGGACAAGAUAGACUCCUUGAAGUACAUCCCCACUGGAGAAAACUCUUCCGGCAUAGCCCUCUAGGAAUUCCAGCUGAGAGCCUGCCAGUAGCCUACCAGGGCUCCUCCCCUUCCAGAUGCUGACCUCUCAUCUUUGUCACUUCCACAUCACAGACUGUCAAUAACUCCUAUAUGCUUUGGAGAAGAUGUCUACUAACUACUUGGCCUCCAGCCUCCACAUAACUCGAGAAUUUGACAAGUGUCUUGAAAGAAAAACUGAUGAUGGGUCAGGAUCAGUCUUCCCUGCUCAGUAGAUCCUUACCCCUCAAGUCUUUCCACUACUACAAGACACCAAAAGCUUUCCUGGUUUCUCUAUCUCCUCUACCUAGAGAAUACCAGGUUCUCAGACAUUAGCUCUAGGUCCAAAAUCAAGCCGGUUUUUCUUUUGCAGGGAAAAACUGGCCGAAUAGUGUUAACUCACUAGUCUUCCCCUUUCUGGAAUCUUGGCAUUUCUAGUUUUGGUUGCCCUAGCAGCUCUCCAAUGCCUUUAAACAGAUGUCUUCUGCUUCUAUUAGGCUUGUUCUUGGCUGAGGCCUUGGUCUGCUGGAAAAUACUGCCACAUACGCAGAAGUAGAAGUCUCUUGAGACAUCAUCUUAUUAGUUAUUUAUUGCCAUGUAACAAAUUACAUGGAAACUUAGUGACUUAAAGAAACAAUAAAAAUUUAUUAUCUCACAUUUUCUGUGCAUCAGAAUUCUGUGGGAUAGGAGCAGCAUAGCAGAUGGUUCUGGCAAAGAAUCUCUCAUAAGGUUGUAGCCCAAUGUUGCCUCGGGCUUGAGAAUGAGCUUCCAAAAGAGUUCACCCUCAUGACUGCCAAGCAGGUGCUGGCUAUUGUAAGAAAGUCUGUCCGUUUUCACACAGGCCUGUUACGAGUAUUUUCAUGACAUGGCAGGUGACUUCACCACAAUAAGGGAAGCAAGAACAGGAAAAAUGGAAGUGUGCAUGUCUUCUAUGACUGAGCCUUAGAAAUUACACUCUUUCCUUUCUGCAAUAUCCUAUUAGUUACGCAGAUCAGUCUUAUUAAAUGUAGAAGAAGAUACACAGAAAACAAACACCAGGGAACAGAAAUCAUUAUCAGUAAGGCCUAUCUAAAAGAAAAUUAUAUUUAAAAUAAAAUUCUUCAUAUAGAUGGAGAAAUUUAAGAAGUUGUUUUGCUGCAGUAAUGAUCAUUACAAAAUAACUACAAAGUUGUGCUUCUAGUGUUGGUUGCAAUUCUGCUCCUAUCUCAUGCACCUUCUUCAUUCAAGGAUCCAGGCUUGAAUAGCAACCUGCAUCUGGAAUAUGCUAUUCUGGUGACAGAGGGAAAUAAGAGCAAGAACCAUAGCACACAAAGGCCCUCAAUUGUUUACUUAGCUAUGGUAUACAUCACUUCUGCCUACAUUUCAUUGACCAAAGCAAGUCAUAUGGCCAAACCAGAUAACAAUGGAGUAUGAAAGUACAUUUCUCUAAUAGACAGGCACUGCUAGUACCAUGGUAAUCAUAGGGAUAUAUAUCAUAUUUCAGGGAAGUAAAGAAUGAAUAAUUAGGAUCAAUAAUAAAAUCUACCAUGAAUAUCUAGUAUGCACAAAGCAGUCAUAUAAUAAUAAAUUCUAUUUAAAAAGGGCAGCUCAGCUGGGUGCACAUAGCCACAUUUAUAAUUCUGGCUUCAGUCUUGAAAAGAAGAAAACUGUCAAACCAUUUCUACUUUUCGAGGCUUUUAAUUGUUUUCUCAUUUUUAGUCAUGUUUCAGUGAAAUACUUUGGAUAAUAUCAUGAUUACCAAAUCAGUAACUUCAUUUUUUAUUCUACUUUAAAAUUACAUUUAUUCUACUUUAUAAAUGAAGUAUGAAUCUGAUCCAAUUGUAUUCAAAUGACAUUCUAAAAAAAGUAUAUAGAAAAACAAACUGAGAACAAUCUAAGAAUGUUUUAUAAACUAUCUGGAAAGAUUGUUAGGUAUCAAUUGUGGAAAAAGAUUAGAAUCAAAUCUUAAAAUUUUUUACUUAGUAUUUUUCUAAUAAUUCAACAUUACUAAAAAUUAAAUUGAUACUAUAAUAAUUAAUGACCUUUAGUCCUGACAUGUAGAAUGUGUCCAUUCUCUGAGAUAAUACAAUGACAAAAUUAUUAUGCUUAAUACUACACCCAGAAAUAUUAUUUUUAGCAUCCAAACUAGAUUUUUCAUAUUUAUAAUUGUGCAUGGAAACAAUCUGAUAAUCAUAUUUUAAGACCAUAUAUUCUGACAUGGAGUUGCAGAACUGUGAUGAUCAUAAGCCUAUAUGUCUGAAAAGAAUACAUUGUGACUAAGACUUACACUAAACACAAAACAACACUGAUUUCUAGUAUCUUUUGCCAGAUAUACAGCUCUACUGUCCUUGUUUAGGUUUGCUGAUUCAAAUUUCUGUAAGAGUUGGGGUGGUCUUAUGAGGGUAGGAGGAAUUCUAUGCUAACAUUGGAAUGAAGCACAAGAAAAAUUAAAAGUUUUACAACCAUAUGGAAUGCAGUGACUUAUCACUUGAUAAAACAGAAUUUAACUGUUCAAGCCCUCAGCUAUGUAGUUUGGUUCAGCUCUAAUUAAUAAUAUUAAUUCCAUUCAUGUUCUUGGGUUCUAGUUUUCACAGCUUUCAUAAAACUAAUUCUAACUUUUAUACAAUUGAAUGUCCACAUAAGCCAGGCUAGCUAAUAUAUAUUAGUUUGAAAAAUUGCUUUUAUGUGAUACUUCACCCAAAUACUUUUUUUCUAUCUAAUAUCUCUAUCAACCAGGUAAGAAAUUGUUUUCACCAUGCAAUCUGUCAAAAUUACCAAUUUUACAAAAACAUUGGCAUCAAUUUUUCUUUUUCUUUUUCUUUAUUUCUUUUUUUCUGAGAUGGAGUCUGGCUCUGUGCCCAGGCUGGAGUGCAGUGGCGCGAUCUCGGCUCACUGCAAGCUCCGCCUCACGGGUUCACGUCAUUCUCCCGCCUCGGCCUCCC